GGGGGUAUAGCUCAGUUGGUAGAGCACUGCCUUUGCAAGGCAGUGGUCGGGGAUUCGAGUUCCCCUGCCUCCA
RNAcentral lists this transfer RNA (73 nucleotides) under Ankyra judayi. RNAcentral's name for it is "tRNA-Ala". It matches the Rfam family "tRNA". Rfam says of the family: Transfer RNA (tRNA) molecules are approximately 80 nucleotides in length. Their secondary structure includes four short double-helical elements and three loops (D, anti-codon, and T loops). The record is from RNAcentral. Lineage: Eukaryota; Viridiplantae; Chlorophyta; Chlorophyceae; Sphaeropleales; Sphaeropleaceae.